Molecule: ribosomal RNA, 465 nt
Filed under: uncultured Klebsiella sp.
Lineage: Bacteria; Pseudomonadati; Pseudomonadota; Gammaproteobacteria; Enterobacterales; Enterobacteriaceae
Description: bacterial SSU rRNA
Rfam family: Bacterial small subunit ribosomal RNA
Source: RNAcentral
CCUACGGGAGGCAGCAGUGGGGAAUAUUGCACAAUGGGCGCAAGCCUGAUGCAGCCAUGCCGCGUGUGUGAAGAAGGCCUUCGGGUUGUAAAGCACUUUCAGCGGGGAGGAAGGCGGUGAGGUUAAUAACCUCAUCGAUUGACGUUACCCGCAGAAGAAGCACCGGCUAACUCCGUGCCAGCAGCCGCGGUAAUACGGAGGGUGCAAGCGUUAAUCGGAAUUACUGGGCGUAAAGCGCACGCAGGCGGUCUGUCAAGUCGGAUGUGAAAUCCCCGGGCUCAACCUGGGAACUGCAUUCGAAACUGGCAGGCUAGAGUCUUGUAGAGGGGGGUAGAAUUCCAGGUGUAGCGGUGAAAUGCGUAGAGAUCUGGAGGAAUACCGGUGGAGAAGGCGGCCCCCUGGACAAAGACUGACGCUCAGGUGCGAAAGCGUGGGGAGCAAACAGGAUUAGAUACCCUUGUAGUC